Molecule: ribosomal RNA, 450 nt
Filed under: uncultured bacterium
Lineage: Bacteria
Description: partial 16S ribosomal RNA
Rfam family: Bacterial small subunit ribosomal RNA
Source: RNAcentral
AACGAACGCUGGCGGCAUGCCUAACACAUGCAAGUCGAACGAGAUCUUCGGGUCUAGUGGCGCACGGGUGCGUAACGCGUGGGAAUCUGCCCUUUGGUUCGGAAUAACAGUUGGAAACGACUGCUAAUACCGGAUGAUGACGAAAGUCCAAAGAUUUAUCGCCAGAGGAUGAGCCCGCGUAGGAUUAGCUAGUUGGUGUGGUAAAGGCGCACCAAGGCGACGAUCCUUAGCUGGUCUGAGAGGAUGAUCAGCCACACUGGGACUGAGACACGGCCCAGACUCCUACGGGAGGCAGCAGUGGGGAAUAUUGGACAAUGGGCGAAAGCCUGAUCCAGCAAUGCCGCGUGAGUGAUGAAGGCCUUAGGGUUGUAAAGCUCGUUUACCCCGGGAUGAUAAUGACAGUACCGGGAGAAUAAGCUCCGGCUAACUCCGUGCCAGCAGCCGCGGUAA